Molecule: microRNA precursor, 85 nt
Organism: Cercocebus atys (sooty mangabey)
Lineage: Eukaryota; Metazoa; Chordata; Mammalia; Primates; Cercopithecidae
Source: Ensembl
AUUACAGCCAUGAGCUACUGUGCCUGAUCAAAAGUCAACAUUAAACAACAAAUCUUGGCCAGGCGCAGUGGCUCAUGCCUUUAAU